CCUACGGGAGGCAGCAGUGGGGAAUAUUGCACAAUGGGCGCAAGCCUGAUGCAGCCAUACCGCGUGUGUGAAGAAGGCCUUCGGGUUGUAAAGCACUUUCAGCGGGGAGGAAGGCGGUGAGGUUAAUAACCUCAUCGAUUGACGUUACCCGCAGAAGAAGCACCGGCUAACUCCGUGCCAGCAGCCGCGGUAAUACGGAGGGUGCAAGCGUUAAUCGGAAUUACUGGGCGUAAAGCGCACGCAGGCGGUCUGUCAAGUCGGAUGUGAAAUCCCCGGGCUCAACCUGGGAACUGCAUUCGAAACUGGCAGGCUAGAGUCUUGUAGAGGGGGGUAGAAUUCCAGGUGUAGCGGUGAAAUGCGUAGAGAUCUGGAGGAAUACCGGUGGCGAAGGCGGCCCCCUGGACAAAGACUGACGCUCAGGUGCGAAAGCGUGGGGAGCAAACAGGAUUAGAUACCCCAGUAGUC
Molecule: ribosomal RNA, 465 nt
Filed under: uncultured Klebsiella sp.
Lineage: Bacteria; Pseudomonadati; Pseudomonadota; Gammaproteobacteria; Enterobacterales; Enterobacteriaceae
Description: bacterial SSU rRNA
Rfam family: Bacterial small subunit ribosomal RNA
Source: RNAcentral